This 373-nucleotide ribosomal RNA is filed under the name uncultured bacterium. Its description in RNAcentral is "bacterial SSU rRNA". It matches the Rfam family "Bacterial small subunit ribosomal RNA", at positions 527 to 898 of the family's 1533-position model. The record is from RNAcentral.
AGAGGUGGCAAGCGUUGUUCGGAAUUACUGGGCGUAAAGGGCGCGUAGGCGGCCCGUCAAGUCCCGUGUGAAAGCCCCCGGCUCAACCGGGGAACGGCGCGGGAAACUAGCAGGCUUGAGUUCGGGAGAGGGAAGCGGAAUUCCGGGUGUAGCGGUGAAAUGCGCAGAUAUCCGGAGGAACACCGGUGGCGAAGGCGGCUUCCUGGACCGACACUGACGCUGAGGCGCGAAAGCUAGGGGAGCAAACGGGAUUAGAUACCCCGGUAGUCCUAGCCCUAAACGAUGAGAACUGGGUGUAGGGGGUAUGAACCCCCCCUGUGCCGAAGCUAACGCAUUAAGUUCUCCGCCUGGGGAGUACGGUCGCAAGGCUGAA